CGGACGGGUGAGUAAUGUCUGGGAAACUGCCCGAUGGGAGGGGAUAACUACUGGAAACGGUAGCUAAUACCGCAUAAUGUCUGCGGACCAAAGCGGGGGACCUCCGGGCCUCGCGCCAUCAGAUGAACCCAUAUGGGAUUAGCUAGUAGGUAAGGUAACGGCUUACCUAGGCGACGAUCCCUAGCUGGUCUGAGAGGAUGAUCAGCCACACUGGGACUGAGACACGGCCCAG
Molecule: ribosomal RNA, 232 nt
Filed under: uncultured bacterium
Lineage: Bacteria
Description: partial 16S ribosomal RNA
Rfam family: Bacterial small subunit ribosomal RNA
Source: RNAcentral